This 63-nucleotide transfer RNA is filed under the name Bos taurus (domestic cattle). It matches the Rfam family "tRNA", at positions 5 to 66 of the family's 71-position model. From Rfam's summary of the family: Transfer RNA (tRNA) molecules are approximately 80 nucleotides in length. Their secondary structure includes four short double-helical elements and three loops (D, anti-codon, and T loops). Further hydrogen bonds mediate the characteristic L-shaped molecular structure. tRNAs have two regions of fundamental functional importance: the anti-codon, which is responsible for specific mRNA codon recognition, and the 3' end, to which the tRNAs corresponding amino acid is attached (by aminoacyl-tRNA synthetases). tRNAs cope with the degeneracy of the genetic code in two manners: having more than one tRNA (with a specific anti-codon) for a particular amino acid; and 'wobble' base-pairing, i.e. permitting non-standard base-pairing at the 3rd anti-codon position. RNAcentral also lists the same sequence under 1 other name. Lineage: Eukaryota; Metazoa; Chordata; Mammalia; Artiodactyla; Bovidae. The record is from Rfam by way of RNAcentral.
AGCUGGCUCAGAUGGUAAAGCGUCUGCCUGCAAUGCAGAAGACCUGGGUUCGAUUCCUGGGUU